RNAcentral lists this ribosomal RNA (630 nucleotides) under uncultured fungus. RNAcentral's name for it is "eukaryotic LSU rRNA". It matches the Rfam family "Eukaryotic large subunit ribosomal RNA", at positions 24 to 664 of the family's 3401-position model. Lineage: Eukaryota; Fungi. The record is from RNAcentral.
GCCCGCUGCACUUCAGCAUAGUCAAUAAGCGGAGGAAAAGAAACCAACAGGGAUUGCCCUAGUAACGGCGAGUGAAGCGGCAACAGCUCAAAUUUGAAAUCUGGCUCUCUCAGGGUCCUAGUUGUGAUUUGUAGAAGAUGCUUCGGGGGUGGCUCCGGUCUAAGUUCCUUGGAACAGGACGUCAUAGAGGGUGAGAAUCCCGCACGUGACUGGUUGCCAUAGCCCAUGUGAAGCUCUUUCGACGAGUUGAGUUGUUUGGGAAUGCAGUUCAAAAUGGGUGGUAAAUUUCCUUCUAAAGCUAAAUAUUGGCCAGAGACCGAUAGCAGACAAGUAGAGUGAUCGAAAGACGAAAAGCGCUUUGGAAAGAGAGUUAAACAGUACGUGAAAUUGUUGGUAGGGAAGCGCUUGCAACCAGACUUGCGCGCUGGCGAUCAACCUGAGUUCUUUCCGGUGCACUCGGUUGCGCUCAGGCCAGCAUCGGUUUGGGUGGUUGGAUAAAGGAAGUGGGAAUGUAGCUUCUCUCGGGGAGUGUUAUAGCCCACGGUGCAAUGCACGCCUACCUGGACCGAGGACCGCGCUUCGGCUAGGAUGCUGGCGUAAUGCUUGUAAGCGACCCGUCGUGAAACACGG